RNAcentral lists this ribosomal RNA (1371 nucleotides) under uncultured bacterium. Its description in RNAcentral is "bacterial SSU rRNA". It matches the Rfam family "Bacterial small subunit ribosomal RNA", at positions 28 to 1381 of the family's 1533-position model. The record is from RNAcentral.
GAUGAACGCUGGUUGCGUGCCUAAUACAUGCAAGUCGAGCGAACAGAUAAGGAGCUUGCUCCUUUGACGUUAGCGGCGGACGGGUGAGUAACACGUGGGUAACCUACCUAUAAGACUGGGAUAACUUCGGGAAACCGGAGCUAAUACCGGAUAACAUAUUGAACCGCAUGGUUCAAUAGUGAAAGGCGGCUUUGCUGUCACUUAUAGAUGGAUCCGCGCCGUAUUAGCUAGUUGGUAAGGUAACGGCUUACCAAGGCAACGAUACGUAGCCGACCUGAGAGGGUGAUCGGCCACACUGGAACUGAGACACGGUCCAGACUCCUACGGGAGGCAGCAGUAGGGAAUCUUCCGCAAUGGGCGAAAGCCUGACGGAGCAACGCCGCGUGAGUGAUGAAGGUCUUCGGAUCGUAAAACUCUGUUAUCAGGGAAGAACAAAUGUGUAAGUAACUGUGCACAUCUUGACGGUACCUGAUCAGAAAGCCACGGCUAACUACGUGCCAGCAGCCGCGGUAAUACGUAGGUGGCAAGCGUUAUCCGGAAUUAUUGGGCGUAAAGCGCGCGUAGGCGGUUUUUUAGUCUGAUGUGAAAGCCCACGGCUCAACCGUGGAGGGUCAUUGGAAACUGGAAAACUUGAGUGCAGAAGAGGAAAGUGGAAUUCCAUGUGUAGCGGUGAAAUGCGCAGAGAUAUGGAGGAACACCAGUGGCGAAGGCGACUUUCUGGUCUGUAACUGACGCUGAUGUGCGAAAGCGUGGGGAUCAAACAGGAUUAGAUACCCUGGUAGUCCACGCCGUAAACGAUGAGUGCUAAGUGUUAGGGGGUUUCCGCCCCUUAGUGCUGCAGCUAACGCAUUAAGCACUCCGCCUGGGGAGUACGACCGCAAGGUUGAAACUCAAAGGAAUUGACGGGGACCCGCACAAGCGGUGGAGCAUGUGGUUUAAUUCGAAGCAACGCGAAGAACCUUACCAAAUCUUGACAUCCUUUGACCGCUCUAGAGAUAGAGUUUUCCCCUUCGGGGGACAAAGUGACAGGUGGUGCAUGGUUGUCGUCAGCUCGUGUCGUGAGAUGUUGGGUUAAGUCCCGCAACGAGCGCAACCCUUAAGCUUAGUUGCCAUCAUUAAGUUGGGCACUCUAAGUUGACUGCCGGUGACAAACCGGAGGAAGGUGGGGAUGACGUCAAAUCAUCAUGCCCCUUAUGAUUUGGGCUACACACGUGCUACAAUGGACAAUACAAAGGGCAGCUAAACCGCGAGGUCAAGCAAAUCCCAUAAAGUUGUUCUCAGUUCGGAUUGUAGUCUGCAACUCGACUACAUGAAGCUGGAAUCGCUAGUAAUCGUAGAUCAGCAUGCUACAGUGAAUACGUUCCCGGGUCU